CGAGCAUCAGUGAAGAACAAAUCCAAAUUGUUAUCCUUGCACUUUGAUUCAUUAUGAAAAUGAAGAAGUUUAUGGGGAAUUAUUAGUCUGAGAUGCUC
Molecule: small nucleolar RNA, 98 nt
Organism: Lotus japonicus
Lineage: Eukaryota; Viridiplantae; Streptophyta; Magnoliopsida; Fabales; Fabaceae
Product: small nucleolar RNA snoR26
Exons: 1
Source: RefSeq, a predicted model, not a curated record